GAACUGUUCAUUUUUUUGUUCUACAUCAUAAAGGUUCAGUUUUCUUCCUUCUGCAGUCUUUGUUUCCUGGCUCUGAUGAUGUUUCCUUAAAGAAGAUGCUGUGUGCUUGUUCUACAGCUGCCUGUGGCCAUCAGGAAUGGAUGCACAUGGAAGAAUCUGGGCAAACACACAUCUGACUGGCACUCUCAGGGACAAGUCAUCCCCCUUUUCUGGGGAGUGGAAAGAUUCUUCAGCGCAGGGAAGAGUGUGUUCCUGACCAGACGUCCAAGAGAACCUGACCUGUUUCCCAGAGGUAAGCCCACCACUCUAGGUGCUAGAGAAGCAAGUCAGGAGUCAGAAAUGGUGUGA
This 348-nucleotide long non-coding RNA is filed under the name Phasianus colchicus (ring-necked pheasant). RNAcentral describes it as "lncRNA (ENSPCLG00000003087.1)". The record is from RNAcentral. Lineage: Eukaryota; Metazoa; Chordata; Aves; Galliformes; Phasianidae.